UUCUUUAAUCAUGGCAUGUACAAAUAUAUAUAACUAGAUAUACAGGGUGUCUCGAGCAACUGGACCAGACUAUAAUUCUGAAAUGAUGGAGUAGAAAAAAAGCUUCUUUAGGUAAAAUUAAGUAGUUUUUAAGUGAAUCAUGACCUGAUGUAAGUAUUUACACAUCUACUGUGAAAGUUGAGUAGUUUUGAGAAUUCUAAGGUUAUCCCUAUUUUUUAAAAUGGAGCUUAAAGUUUUGUAUAUAUCAAUCGAUGAGUUUGUUUUAUUCCGUAUAAAGAGUGUAUUAUAUUAGUCGUGUAUAAUAUAGUUAUCUUAAAAAUUAUUUCGUUUCAGUUUCAUGAAAUUUAUCAUAUGAAAGAGAAGGAAAUAAGUUAGAAUAAAUGUAAGGCUACUGCGUCGCAUCUUUCCUUGUCAUUCGUACAGUCAGUUCUGCACUUCAAUUAAAGUCAGAGCUGUAGUUUGACCUCGUUGCACGAAACACCUUAUAUAUAUAUGUAUAUAUAUAUAUAUAUUAUAUAUUACGACAAUAUGUGUAUUUAUGUAGAGUAUAUCAAGAUGAAGAACUGCAUAUCUAAUAUAAUGCGUCUUAACGCGCAUGCGCGUUUCGUCAUUUGUAUAUUUAUCUUUAAAUAGAAUCAUCUCGAAAGUUUUUGCAAGAUAAGAAUCCAUAAUAUUCAAUUAAGGUAAAAAUUAAAAAAAAGUAAUAUCUUGAAGUUCUUUUAAAUUUUGUACAAUUCCAUUUUCUGUAUAAUAAAUAAAACCUGCAAUAAGGCAGAUGUCGCGCAUUGAAGACUCAACCAUACCUCGUGGCGAUUAUUGAUUACGUUUUGGAACACGCUUAAGUUUAAAUUGUUUGGUAACAAUUUUUAAAAAUCAUUGGAGAUAUUAUCAACGCACUAUUUUGAAUAACAACAGUAUUUUUAUCAAUGCAUCAAAUUUGUGUAAAUUAAUAAAUAUAACAGUUAUAUUCGAAAUAAUUACAAUUACAAACAAUUAAAACGAAAUUAAGACACUCGUAAAGUUUACUAAUAUUAUUCUAAUGUAAAUCAAAGCAUAAUUGCCAACGUAGUUAUCAAUGGGAAAAAAGGUUCGUAAUAAAAUUGAAAGUCAUCAUUGGGGAAGUAAGUACUUUUAUCGGUGACUCUCAAAUGUAUGUAAUAAUAAAACUACAUUAGAUAAUGACUAUCAUUUCCUGGCGACACCAUCAAGGUCUCCCUCUGCUCUCGGUACAUCUAUUCAAGCAGAGCGUAUGAUUAAAAAAAGGUUUUUUUUACAUUUCUAAUUACUAAAUACGUAAAUAGAAUACGAAAUAUGUGUACAGCGAAUAACAAAAUUUCUGUCAUAUUUUCAAUUGUGCCAAUAAUUCUGUAACUUUGUACUUCAUGAAAAAUUUAUCUUACGAGAACAAAUUUUUAAAGUCGAAAUUGAUCCAAACAAAGAUACAAAGAUUUAAAGCAUAUACUGUCUAAGAUAAAAUGGUAUUAUAAAAUUAUAAUCUUGUCUUCCUUCUUAUCUUAUUAAUCUCUAAUCUAAAAAUAUUAUCAGGAUUCAUGGACGAGGAUGGAAAUAUUCUUAGGAUCAUUUCGUACAAUUAUAAUUAUUAGAUAGUUUUACAAUUAUUAUAUAUUUUCUAUUAUAAUCAUUUUUAUUUCUUAUAAUUUACUGUCCUUCGUUAUCUCGUAUUUAUAUUUAUAUAUAUAUUUAUAUUUAUAUAUAAAACACAUAGCUAUGAAAUAUUAAGUUGUGUGUAGUGUAGCAAUGCGACUCCAAAUAGUUUAAAAAAUAUCCACUAAAUGCACAUGCAUUAAACUAGAAAAAAGCGAACGGUGUUAUCGAUUUCAUUGUAUGUUUCUUUCUUCUUUUGAUUAAGAUCGUUAAUUACUGCGUUUCGUUCUUCUUGCCUAGGCGUAUACUGCGUUACUCAUGAUCGUAUGUACAAAUUAGUGAAGCGCACAGUACAAUAUAUAGUAAAAAAGAUGAGACGUUUUACAAACGUAUUCCCAACAUGUGCUACUCAGAGGUAUCGUCGAGAGAAAUAUGAUUAUUACCACGUCAAGAAAAAGUGCAUUCCAAGAAAAAUGGAACAAGUCGACGUCGAUUGAAAUGAGUCGCAUUGUAAAUGGACAACAUCUGAACAGAAAAAAGGGCGAGAGCUUUUAGUAAAAAUGAACAGUUCUUAAAUAAUCGUCACUGAAAAAGAUGGUCAAAAACGCGGUUCUUAAGUUUCGACCUUAAACCACUCUUACACUCUAUAUGAAACAAAAAACAACCGUGAUAAAUAUUUAAAAAUGUCAAAAGAUAAGACAAAAGGAAAAUAAUAAAGAAUACGAAAGUUAACAAUCGCGUAAAUCGCAACGUGAAUAUGAUAUCAGUUAGUAUCAAGCGAGACGCUUCAAAUGGAAUCGAUACCAUUCCCGAUUCUUGUCGUUGAUAAAAACUCGCUUGAUAAAAACUGCAUCUCACACGCAGAAACAUGUAUAAAGAACAAUUAAAUAUUAUCUCUUCGUUCUAUUCUUAAUUCCGUCGAAUCGUGAUAUUUUGGGAUCAUAUAUAAGAGGAAACUCUUUAAAUUAUUAAACAAUACGUGUUCCAUUUCUUUUUUUUUAUAAUCCUCCAAUGCGUAUUCCCUUAGGGCGUAGCAUAUAUUUAACAAUUUUUUUAAAAGCUAAUUUAUAUUUAUAUUUAUAUAUAAUAUUUAUAUAUUUAUUUAUAUAUUUAUAUAUGUAUCAUGUCCCAAGUUAGUGUGCCGCUUAAAUAUAUAUAUGGCAGUCAUCGAAACGCAAACGAAUCGUUUGCGGAGAAACGCGAAAUUAAAAAAAGAGGUGCUGGACGAGAGGAAGUGUAUAUACCGGUGUACAGACCUUACAAAUGAACACGUGCAUCGAUUGAGCUGCUUAAAUAGAUAAAACAGGGCAGAUAUCAUGAAUUAAAGAACAACGUUUCUUUCCCUCUUAAGACGAGAGCAACAACGCGUUAUCAAGUUACUGCACAAGCUCUAAUAAGAGUUUCUUCUAAAAUAGAAACAUUAUAGCACUCUAAGCUGCUACAAAUUUUUAUCUAUGUAGUAUAAAAAGGGCUAGAAGGUACUUUUCAAUUAAACGAGAGUUAUAUCUCAUAAGGCAUUGCUUCUCGAGUUCCUCUUUAACAAGCGAACAUCUGUUCAAAAAUGGCAUUUGCGCGACUCGUAGAAACAUAGAAAAUUGUUCGAAGCAAUAUUAGCAAAUACAUACUGUAAAAAAUAGAUCACUUAUCGAGUUACGUUUCACUGCUGUUAUUCGAUUCGUUACGUGUCAUCGCUUGAAAAUGUGAUCUACUGGCUUAUCUUGAACAGUCUGAAUUAAUUUUAUAAUCGAAUUCUUAUCUGACUUAUAAUAUGCAGAA
Molecule: long non-coding RNA, 3381 nt
Organism: Bombus pyrosoma
Lineage: Eukaryota; Metazoa; Arthropoda; Insecta; Hymenoptera; Apidae
Exons: 2
Source: RefSeq, a predicted model, not a curated record